Molecule: ribosomal RNA, 648 nt
Filed under: uncultured Delftia sp.
Lineage: Bacteria; Pseudomonadati; Pseudomonadota; Betaproteobacteria; Burkholderiales; Comamonadaceae
Description: bacterial SSU rRNA
Rfam family: Bacterial small subunit ribosomal RNA
Source: RNAcentral
UAGAGUUUGAUCCUGGCUCAGAUUGAACGCUGGCGGCAUGCCUUACACAUGCAAGUCGAACGGUAACAGGUCUUCGGACGCUGACGAGUGGCGAACGGGUGAGUAAUACAUCGGAACGUGCCCAGUCGUGGGGGAUAACUACUCGAAAGAGUAGCUAAUACCGCAUACGAUCUGAGGAUGAAAGCGGGGGACCUUCGGGCCUCGCGCGAUUGGAGCGGCCGAUGGCAGAUUAGGUAGUUGGUGGGAUAAAAGCUUACCAAGCCGACGAUCUGUAGCUGGUCUGAGAGGACGACCAGCCACACUGGGACUGAGACACGGCCCAGACUCCUACGGGAGGCAGCAGUGGGGAAUUUUGGACAAUGGGCGAAAGCCUGAUCCAGCAAUGCCGCGUGCAGGAUGAAGGCCUUCGGGUUGUAAACUGCUUUUGUACGGAACGAAAAAGCUCCUUCUAAUACAGGGGGCCCAUGACGGUACCGUAAGAAUAAGCACCGGCUAACUACGUGCCAGCAGCCGCGGUAAUACGUAGGGUGCGAGCGUUAAUCGGAAUUACUGGGCGUAAAGCGUGCGCAGGCGGUUAUGUAAGACAGAUGUGAAAUCCCCGGGCUCAACCUGGGAACUGGCUUUGGGAAUGGCUGGCUAAAGUUUCGG